UGGGGAAUAUUGCACAAUGGGGGAAACCCUGAUGCAGCGACGCCGCGUGAACGAAGAGGUAUUUCGGUAUGUAAAGUUCUAUCAGCAGGGAAGAUAAUGACGAUACCUGACUAAGAAGCACCGGCUAAAUACGUGCCAGCAGCCGCGGUAAUACGUAUGGUGCAAGCGUUAUCCGGAUUUACUGGGUGUAAAGGGAGCGCAGGCGGUGCGGCAAGUCUGAUGUGAAAGCCCGGGGCUCAACCCGGUACUGCAUUGGAAACUGUCGUACUAGAGUGUCGGAGGGGUAAGUGGAAUUCCUAGUGUAGCGGUGAAAUGCGUAGAUAUUAGGAGGAACACCAGUGGCGAAGGCGGCUUACUGGACGAUAACUGACGCU
This 374-nucleotide ribosomal RNA is filed under the name uncultured Roseburia sp. Its description in RNAcentral is "bacterial SSU rRNA". It matches the Rfam family "Bacterial small subunit ribosomal RNA", at positions 355 to 747 of the family's 1533-position model. The record is from RNAcentral. Lineage: Bacteria; Bacillati; Bacillota; Clostridia; Lachnospirales; Lachnospiraceae.